GGGGAAUGCUCUGGGGUAAGCGGGUUACUUUUGCAGGGUGACUGACCGGAGAGUUCGAUUCUCUCAUUCUCCACCA
Molecule: transfer RNA, 76 nt
Filed under: Candidatus Krumholzibacteriia bacterium
Lineage: Bacteria; Candidatus Krumholzibacteriota; Candidatus Krumholzibacteriia
Description: tRNA-OTHER
Source: RNAcentral